Long non-coding RNA from Amphiprion ocellaris (clown anemonefish), 885 nucleotides. RefSeq lists it as uncharacterized. The record is from RefSeq and is a predicted model, not a curated record. The transcript is spliced from 3 exons. Lineage: Eukaryota; Metazoa; Chordata; Actinopteri; Pomacentridae.
UUUUAUUCUCUUAUCAGACUUGGUAUACAUCAGCAAGUGAAUAUGAAAUAUUUUGUUCCUUAAACUGACAAGCAAAUGUUACACUGAUCUGUUGCCAACAGUGUGUACAACAUCACCUGGUGUGCACAACAGUAUCCUCCUUAGACAAGUGCUUGCAGUGUCUGGGACCUGUAUCCUCCUUCAAAUGGCUUGGCUAUAAAUGCAAAGUUUGUUCACAGGUCUGGCAUAAAUCCUGUAUCCGUCAAAUUCCAAAUGAGCCAAACCUUUCACAAGAGCAACAGUCUGCUGAAUGUUCUGGGGAUCAAUUAUCAUCAGAUCAGUAUAUCAAGAGACUACGUUUAGAACAGGAGCCACAAUCAGAUGAUGAUGAACACUUUUCUGAUGAGGAUUACAUACCAGACACAACAGAUGAAGAAGAUGAAGAUUUAGAUGCAAGGAUGCCCUUUAUGUCUCAUCAGUUGAAAGCCCAACAGCCAGCAAUAUUCAGUGCUACAACAUCAAAUGUGGGAGACACAAGCAUCCCAGUUGUACCUAGUACAUCAAAAUGUUGGCCACCUCUUGAGGAUCAUAUGAGUUCCAGUGCUGUUGAAACGUCCGAUUCAGCAAAUGGUGUCAAACAGUCAUCAAAGGAUAAACCAGAGGGUGAAGAAGAGCUUCAGAGACCAGAAUCAGCGCUUCUGACUAUGAGCUCUAAAAAUUAUUGUUAUGUCUGUGGUAAACCACAAAGCAAAAUUUCACGCCACUUGAAAACGCAUACAACACAUGCUGAAAUAGUUCAUGCAUUUUCCCUCCCUGAGCACUCCAAAGAGCGUAAAAUAUUAUUGGAAAAAAUGAGAAAUAAGGGAAAUUUCCAACAUAACACUGCAGUUUUACAAGAUGGGACAG